AUGUAUGAGAAGGCGUCGGGGCAAAGAGUAAACAUGCAGAAAUCUUCCAUCUUUUUUGGAAGAGGAUGUCAAGAUAGCACCAAGGAUCAGUUGAAACAAGCGGUGGGUAUCCAGUAAGAAGCACUCAGCGAGCGGUACCUUGGUCUCCCGACACUGGUUGGAAGAUCGAAGGACGGUACUUUUAAGCACGUCACUGAGUGUUCAAAAGGAAAGGUUUUUUGGAUGGAAGGGACAAGGUUUGUCCAAAGCGGCAAGAGAAGUUCUUGUCAAAUCGGUGUUCCAAGCGACUCCGACAUACACCAUGAGUUUUUUUCACCUCUCGAAAAAGAUGUGCCGGAACCUGACUUCAAUUUCUUCUAA
This 360-nucleotide ribosomal RNA is filed under the name Triticum aestivum (bread wheat). Its description in RNAcentral is "partial small subunit ribosomal RNA". The record is from RNAcentral. Lineage: Eukaryota; Viridiplantae; Streptophyta; Magnoliopsida; Poales; Poaceae.